RNAcentral lists this ribosomal RNA (461 nucleotides) under uncultured bacterium. RNAcentral describes it as "partial 16S ribosomal RNA". It matches the Rfam family "Bacterial small subunit ribosomal RNA", at positions 338 to 795 of the family's 1533-position model. The record is from RNAcentral.
CCUACGGGUGGCAGCAGUGAGGAAUAUUGGUCAAUGGGCGCGAGCCUGAACCAGCCAAGUAGCGUGAAGGAUGACUGCCCUACGGGUUGUAAACUUCUUUUAUAAAGGAAUAAAGUGAGGCACGUGUGCCUUUUUGCAUGUACUUUAUGCAUAAGGAUCGGCUAACUCCGUGCCAGCAGCCGCGGUAAUACGGAGGAUGCGAGCGUUAUCCGGAUUUAUUGGGUUUAAAGGGUGCGCAGGCGGGAGAUCAAGUCAGCGGUAAAAUGUCGGGGCUCAACGGGGGGAAGUGCCAUUGAUACUGCCUUGCUGGAAUGCGGAUGCCGUGGGAGGAAUGUGUGGUGUAGCGGUGAAAUGCAUAGAGAUCACACAGAACACCGAUUGCGAAGGCAUCUCACGAAUCCGCGAUUGACGCUGAUGCACGAAAGCGUGGGUAUCAAACAGGAUUAGAUACCCUAGUAGUC